CAGUCGCCACGGUAAUACGAAGGGUGCAAGCGUUGAUCGGAAUUACUGGGCGUAAAGCGUGCGUAGGCGGUGAGUUAAGUCUGCUGUGAAAUCCCCGGGCUCAACCUGGGAAUGGCAGUGGAUACUGGCUCGCUAGAGUGUGUCAGAGGAUGGUGGAAUUCCCGGUGUAGCGGUGAAAUGCGUAGAGAUCGGGAGGAACAUCAGUGGCGAAGGCGACUAUCUGGGCCAACACUGACACUGAGGCACGAAAGCGUGGGGAGCAAACAGGAUUAGAUACCCCGGUAGUCCCUGUCUCUUAUAA
Molecule: ribosomal RNA, 301 nt
Filed under: uncultured bacterium
Lineage: Bacteria
Description: partial 16S ribosomal RNA
Rfam family: Bacterial small subunit ribosomal RNA
Source: RNAcentral